RNAcentral lists this ribosomal RNA (253 nucleotides) under uncultured bacterium. Its description in RNAcentral is "partial 16S ribosomal RNA". It matches the Rfam family "Bacterial small subunit ribosomal RNA", at positions 524 to 776 of the family's 1533-position model. The record is from RNAcentral.
UACAGGGGGUGCAAACGUUGCUCGGAAUCAUUGGGCGUAAAGCGCACGUAGGCGGUUCGUUAUGUCGGAUGUGAAAGCCCUUGGCUUAACCGAGGAAGUGCAUCCGAAACUGGCGAGCUAGAGUACGAAAGAGGAUCGCGGAAUUCCCGGUGUAGAGGUGAAAUUCGUAGAUAUCGGGAGGAACACCGGUGGCGAAGGCGGCACUCUGGGCCGGUACUGACGCUGAGGAGCGAAAGCGUGGGGAGCGAACAGG